AGGACGAACGCUGGCGGCGUGCUUAACACAUGCAAGUCGAGCGGUAAGGCCUUUCGGGGUACACGAGCGGCGAACGGGUGAGUAACACGUGGGUGAUCUGCCCUGCACUUCGGGAUAAGCCUGGGAAACUGGGUCUAAUACCGGAUAUGACCUCCUAUCGCAUGGUGGGUGGUGGAAAGAUUUAUCGGUGCAGGAUGGGCCCGCGGCCUAUCAGCUUGUUGGUGGGGUAAUGGCCUACCAAGGCGACGACGGGUAGCCGACCUGAGAGGGUGACCGGCCACGACUGGGACUGAGACACGGCCCAGACUCCUACGGGAGGCAGCAGUGGGGAAUAUUGCACAAUGGGCGAAAGCCUGAUGCAGCGACGCCGCGUGAGGAUGACGGCCUUCGGGUUGUAAACCUCUUUCAGCAGGACGAAGCGCAAGUGACGGUACCUGCAGAAGAAGCACGGCUAACUACGUGCCAGCAGCCGC
RNAcentral lists this ribosomal RNA (473 nucleotides) under uncultured soil bacterium. RNAcentral's name for it is "bacterial SSU rRNA". It matches the Rfam family "Bacterial small subunit ribosomal RNA", at positions 26 to 518 of the family's 1533-position model. The record is from RNAcentral.